CAAACAAGGAUGGUCAAUGAACUUCACUUUAACUCAUAUGAACUUCUAUGGCUAACCAGUGAAACCUGAAGCUGUUAAAGGUAUGAAAAAACUAUGAAACACAUACACUAUGUACUUCUGCAAUUAAAAGUGUUGUAUUAGCUCCUUCAGAGAUGACUCCGACCAACUCGUGGUCAAAUCCAUCCAUGCUGCCACAUCUUAAUACCAUUUUUGAACACAAAUCAUUAGUUAGAUAAUAACAAGCUAUAGAGGAUGAUGAACUGAUUAAUACAAUAUUUAUAACAAACUAAAAUAGUUUCAACAGACAAAAACCAACCAAGGAGGAACACUAAACAGUCUAGAAUACACUAAACAACCAAUUCAAGUGAGCAGAAGCUAAGUGUAAAUAUGACACGAAAAUAGCAAGUGUUACUCAUAUCACUAGAUGGAGAAUGAUAAAUGGAAAUUUACAUACCUAGCAGUAGAAUCAAACAAAAUAGAAAAUAAGCCUCUGAAAACUGGAAAAAGAGCAGUAGCAAGAACAAAUGCAGCAAGCAGGGAAGUAGCAAGAACAAAACCAGAAUCAACCUUGAAUUUAGCUCAAAAUUUAACUUGAGAAAGAUCAAAAUUUUGAUGAAUAGCACCCAAUAAGACCUCUGAAAUCUUUAUAUAAGAGAAACUAAGCUUAUAAAAGAAAAGGAAAGGAAAAUCUAAGGUAAAUUCUGGUGUGUAUUUGAGAGGAGUGAUUCUGAGUAUUAACCUCUGUGUGUGAGGAAGUGUGAGUGAAAGAGUGAGAGUGAGCAGCAAGGUUUUUGGUUCUCAAAGGGGAAGGAAGUCUGUUCGAUUUUUUUGGAGUAGAUGAAUUGGGCGGCGAGGUUUUGCGUAUGGGAUCGAAGGGUCUUGUCGGAGUUGAUGGAGAGGUGAGGCGCCGCUGCCAGGGUUCGUCUAUGGGAGGGGAGGGUCCG
This 944-nucleotide long non-coding RNA is filed under the name Nicotiana tabacum (common tobacco). RNAcentral's name for it is "long non-coding RNA (NTAB_LNC000218)". The record is from RNAcentral. Lineage: Eukaryota; Viridiplantae; Streptophyta; Magnoliopsida; Solanales; Solanaceae.